GUCCACGCUGUAAACUAUGAGAACUAGAUGUUAGGGGGCAUGACCUCUUAGUAUCGUAGCAAACGCGAUAAGUUCUCCGCCUGGGGAGUACGGCCGCAAGGUUAAAACUCAAAGGAAUUGACGGGGGCCCGCACAAGCGGUGGAGCAUGUGGUUUAAUUCGAUGCAACGCGAAGAACCUUACCUACCUUUGAAUCCACGGAACCUUGCAGAGAUGUGAGGGUGCCUUCGGGAACCGUGAGACAGGUGCUGCAUGGCUGUCGU
Molecule: ribosomal RNA, 262 nt
Filed under: uncultured bacterium
Lineage: Bacteria
Description: partial 16S ribosomal RNA
Rfam family: Bacterial small subunit ribosomal RNA
Source: RNAcentral